GCCCUUCCGGUCGCUAGAAAUUGGCCGGAACUCCAUAUCUGAUCAGAGGUCGGAUUUCGGCCUGAAUAUCAACCCGCUCAAAUUUCAGAUUUUCUCGGCCAUCUGAUCCUCCCCAGCCCUUCUCCAGUGGCUAAUCUGCCUAUCUUUAUUGUUAGAACUACUGUUUGACUUCCCAGCUACAAAAAUCCAUUGGGUCAGAUCAAGUAAUUUGUUGGAUUCUAUUUUUUGGAUGAAAAUUAUUCCUAAAUUGCUGAAAUUUCAGUU
RNAcentral lists this unclassified non-coding RNA (264 nucleotides) under Hevea brasiliensis (rubber tree). The record is from RNAcentral. Lineage: Eukaryota; Viridiplantae; Streptophyta; Magnoliopsida; Malpighiales; Euphorbiaceae.